Molecule: long non-coding RNA, 5203 nt
Filed under: Equus caballus (horse)
Lineage: Eukaryota; Metazoa; Chordata; Mammalia; Perissodactyla; Equidae
Description: lncRNA (ENSECAG00000035269.2)
Source: RNAcentral
AAGCUCCCAGGUGAUACUGCCUGGCUGGGGACCUCACUAUGAGAACUUCUGCUGUAGGCGCUCAUUUGUCCAUGGCGUAGCCAGGUGGACGUGCUUCAAAGAGCUGUGAGAAUCCAGGAAGACAUCUCACCUCAGAAGGGUGCAGCUGGGUUCUAUCCAUGUCAUCGACUUCUAGACUUACGACUAAGACCCGUGCUUUCUGUCACAACCACGAAGAGAAGGAUCCCCUAGAGGAAGAUUAGCCCUGAGCUAACUACUGCCAGUCCUCCUCUAUUUUCGCAGAGGAAGACUGGCCCUGAGCUAACAUCCAUGCCCAUCAUCCUCUACUUUAUAUGUGGGAUGUCUACCACAGCAUGGCGUGCCAAGCGGUGCCAUGUCCGCACCCAGGAUCCGAACCAGCGAACACUGGGCCGCCGAGAAGCGGGAAGUGCAAACUUAACCGCUGCACCACUGGGCUGUUCCCCCCAAGAAUUCUUUUUUCAAAGGAUACAAUGAGAAGUUAGGAGUCUGCACCCUAGAAGAGGGCUCUUACCAGAACCGGACCAUGCUGGCACCCUGAUCUUGGACCUCCAGCCUCCAGACCUGUGUGAAAGCCCCCGCUCACCAGCCUGCCUUCGCUUGACAAAUGAUGAAGAUAAUGAAAGUGAAGGUGCAGAGCGGAACGGCCAAGACAGUCUGGGCACGUCUCUCAUCACCACCUGUUUGUGCAGACAGAGAGCCCCCCGAGGAGUUUCAGGUGACCUCAGCCUUGCGAGGCGCAGAGAAGUCUGCAUUCCUAGGUCCUUCUGUUUGAGACUCUACUGAGAGGCUUCAGGCUGCACUGUGCACAACCUCUUACGGUCAGGCCCUGCAAGCUUAUGCUGCUUCACCUUCCCUUUGCAUACCGUGGAGGAAAAAUCAUAAUGCUCACUGUGGGCCAAAGCCUUUGUUAUGCUCAGGGCUUCGGAAGAUUGGAUUACUACAACACUACGGAAGAGAAAACUGAGGUUCACAGAGGCUAGCAACUCUCCAAGGCCCCACAGCAGAUAUCUCAUCUAGUCGGAACUUGCUCCUAGGCCUGUCUGGCUCUCAGCUGCCACACCACGCUGCCUCCCUUGAGGAAAGGAUGGUUGAUGUGGGAUAUGUUGGAACAAUGCAGCCUCCUGAAAUCAGCUUUGCCUUUAAAGACAGAAGUGACAGGGGCCAAAGAGUGCACAGGACUGGCUGGACAGGGUUAGGAGUCACAUGUGUCAGGUCCUAGUUGGACUGGACCACUCCCUGACCACAAGAGCUCUAGACAACCACUGGAACUUUCUGAGCUCACGUCCUCAUCUGGAAAUGGAGCAAACACCCUCUGCCCUUUCCACUUUACAGGAUGAUUCUGAAGGAGGUUUGUGGACUGAAAAGUACUUUAUGACUGUAAGGGCUUCCUGGAUGAGACAUUUUCAAAAAAGAGCUGUGAUUACAGGAGUAACGUAGGCAUAUUUUGUUUUCUUAUGAUAGGUCCCUGAUGUGUUUUUAGAUAUGUUAAACUUUCACAGAGUCUCAUCUUCAAAAACACAGUCCUGUAAGAUCCUAGGCUUUUUUAUGUCUGAGUUAUAACGAAUAAAUGAACACCAAUCCUUGUAGCGGGCAGAAGCAACUUCCUUGAAAGUCUUCUCGUGGUGGGUGUUCUGGCUCAAACGCUUCCCAGUCUGGUUAGAUAAAAAAAAUUUAGUAUGACCUUCUUUUGUAUUGUUUAUUGGCCAAUACGUUUCAUGCCUCAUUUGCCCUCAAAUUCACAUUUUUAUUCACCAGAGUAUUUGCUCUGCCUUUGUGUGUGCGUGUGUGUGUGUAUGCCUGUGCGUGUGUGUGCUCAUGUGCUCACUACACAGUCACAGAAAACCUUUGCACCUUAAACACUAGCCAGAUGAUAGGAUAUUUAUUUUUUAUUUUGCCAAACUAUGUGAUUUCUAUGCAUUGUUUUAAAACCAAAAGAGGAAAAGAAAAACGUUUAAGAAUUUUGCUUCAAAUGAGCAGCCUCUGACAUGCCUAAGAUGGCGAGGGUCAGUUUCUACUCCAUGCAAACCUUUUAAUUACAUGCAGCCUGAAUCGGGGCGGCCAUCUCUGACCUGGAGCCUCAGACCCAGUGUCCUGCCCUCUGAUGGCUGCCAUCCACCAGUGCCCAUCCUUGACGUGAGUCCCUAAUUCUGUCGUGCCCUCCCAGCAGGCGAGGGGGCUGGAGCCGGGCUGGUUUCCUUGCAAUUAAUGAACAGCAAGAGCGCAUAAUUAGGAAACUCCUAAGGAGGACUCCCCUUAUAGCGAGUGGCGAGUUCAGCUUCUCUCCCUCCUCUUGCCAGUUCCCAUCCCUACAGUCACAUCUCAUCGAGUUUGGGAAUUUUAUCAUUUUUAUUGGGACUCUUUUUCCUAGAGUUUAUUUUUACACUGCCAGAAGCUUUUUCAAAUUUUAACCUCGGGAGUGGAUCAUUAAGUUAAUCACACUUCUCUUGUUUUGUCUGUUCCUUCAUCCCCCUCUCUGAUUCCCUUGCAUGCCUUCACAGGUAACCAUUUCCACGUGUUUCUCCCGUGUGUGCGUGAGAGAGAGAUACUGUGAUCUUGUAAGUGGCCAGGAGCUUUCAUCACUGAUUCCUCCUCUGCACCGACUCGCUCAGGAGCCCUCAGUUCACCUUGGAUGUGUUUUUGUUCUGUGGCAAGAGAAUCACAUGUGUAUACACACGCGUCUGCCAUUUUCACCAGGAAAUGUGACCGGAGUUCUUAAAAAUUCUGUCUCAAUGAGUUUUUACUCAUCUCUCCUGAGAACUCACCCACCUGAUAGAAUUUUAAGCUUUAAAAGGUACUUCCUGUGAUUAUUCACUCAUUGAGGCAGAGGAGACUGAUGCCAAGAUGUGAUGGAACUGGGAGGUGGAGGGAACUGAGUGACGGUAGAUGAGGCUGGGAGAUGAGCCACCUGGGUCUGACACUAAGUCAGUUACUAGGCCCUUGAGCAAAUUUAUAAACCAAUCAAAGCCUCAGUUUUUUAGUCUGUGAAAUGGACUUAGUAUCUGCAUGUUAAUGUGGAGUUACAGUUAACGAAAUAAUGUAUUGACAAGCGCCAAGGUCAAUGCCUGGCGUGCACAAAAAGUCCAGUAGGUGUUGGUUGAAUCAGAGCAUCUUUCUUUGGAGUAAUUUGAAGUUCCCUGCUGAACUCAGGAGGAAGGCAGAGGUGCCAGGAGCAGCCAUGGGCCUGUUCAGAGCUAGCUAACAGAGAAUUUCUGAGGAAGCUGUUGCAAAUGGCUUGGGGGCUGUUCCUAAAAUAGAUUUGAGAGAUGAAAAAAUGAGAGAAUGCAUAGACAAUCUGAGACAAAUGAUCAGCUCUGAUACCGACACUGAGAUUGUAAGAUGACUGCUGUGCCUUGCCAGAAAUGAAUAUUCAGGACGCCCCUGCUGGGUGCCUUUUCCUAUUUGAACCAACUACUCUUUGGGCCAUGAUUCACUUGUUAGCAAAUUAAACACUCUUUGCACACAGCAGAGCAACUUUACGAAGUCGGAUUUUGAAGUGCAAACAUCUUUUCUGCUCUGGCCACGGAACCUGUCACAAUCUUCAUCGGGAACUGAAUUAAGUUUAAAAUAUCAUCAGAGGGUGUUGAUCUCUCUUGGGCCUGGAGCUGUCCUCUGUACAUCCGGCAUUUUUCUGUUGACACUGCAUAUCACUUAGCAACAGGCCUGAAAGGCCCUAUAUGCAUUGAUUGCACACUAUUGUCUUUAAAGGGUGGAAGUGUUAACUGAAUAAACCCCCCGGGUGACCGCACGGUCAUUCCUCUCAAGUUGAUAAUGUGUUUACAUCAAAAUAUUGUUUAUUCCAUUCUCUGAUCUCCUGAUUUUUGCAUCUCUGGCUGAAGGAAUACAGUUAAUUCCCUACAUGGUGGAGAACCCAAAUCUACUCUCCUGACACGGACCGAUGAGAAUGGUUUUCUUCCUACUUCUCCUGAUAAAGCAUUAAAUGCAUUUGACAGCUAACUGCAGACGAUAACGCCAACUUUCUCUUGUGGUUCUCAGAGGAUGGAGAAGUUACAAGCCUGCAAUUGCCCCAUAAAGAGAAAAUAUUCCCUUUGGUCUGUGAAUGGUUCUGAAAUAAACGGCAGGAUAUGUUACAUGGCCGCGAAGAUGUUAAGGCUUUAAAAUGGAUGGCGGGCUCUGACAUCAUCUGAAUGAGAAGGAAAUAUGGCCUAACCAAGGGGUGUUUUCAGAAUGAAUAAAAUUUCAAAGUGGAAAUUCUUGCUUGAGAGGCAAGAGGAGAACACAUUUUUGCAUCAAUAGCCAUGGCUGAAGCAAUAGACUAGACCAGUGGGUCAAACAGGCAUUUUAGCUCAGACCUCUCCCUUUUACAAUGAUGUAUUUCAGAGACCUUCCACCGAGACAGCGUUCUCACAAACGUCUCAGACAAUGAGGGCAUGUCAGCUGAGGGAUUGUACAUGUAGGCAAAGACCAGAUUUGUGGGUUUGGCGCCCACCUGCGUCAAAUCAUGUAGUGGAGACAAAGUGUGGCUACCUGCUCUCCAGCUUCUAGUUUUGAGAAAUCUGUUUUGCUCCUUUGUGAGUUUCCACCAUACUACAUCAAGCUGAAAACGGAGAAAGAUAGAUCAAUAUGUCUUGAGAAAUAUGCCAACAAGGCAAGCGACUUCAAAAUCGACCUACUGAUUAUAUUGCCUUGGCAUGACUUUCUAUCUGGUAUAAUAGUGCCAAAACGUUCUUUGGUAAAUGUUAAAGUUUUUUCUUUCCACAGUCCUCCUCAUCAAAUAGGAAACCUACUUAAAAUUAAGAAUCAAAUUCUAUUAAUGUUUCCCCUUUGAUAAAAGCCUCAGGCCUUGACUCCAUGCCUUGAUAGAAAGAAAAAUGCAAUCCCGGACUUUUGGACAUAGAUCCAUAUGAGUAGGGAGAUGAGAAUGAAAGGGGAAAAGAUGGAAACCGCCAUGGAUAUUCUCGUUAGCCAGGAGGAGGUGCGGGAAUACCUUCAUUAUUAGAAGUAAAAAUAUUUUAAACUAAUGUACAAGUUUUUAAGUGACACCCAUCUCCUUCUGCACCCCUGUGUCCCGGAAAUGUCUCGUAUCCUCUCUGCAGGUCUAGUCACCUUGGCCUGGUUCAGCUACUGAGCAAUCUUACUUCUAUAAACAUUUCACUGCUACCAGUUGGAUUUUUCACAGCAUUAACUUUAACUACAUGGGUGUUUGUAAUGGAAUAAAAUUUUA